Molecule: non-coding RNA, 30 nt
Filed under: Homo sapiens (human)
Lineage: Eukaryota; Metazoa; Chordata; Mammalia; Primates; Hominidae
Source: RNAcentral
UACUAAUGGCAAUUCCUCAGGAUCUGGAGA